RNAcentral lists this ribosomal RNA (253 nucleotides) under uncultured bacterium. Its description in RNAcentral is "partial 16S ribosomal RNA". It matches the Rfam family "Bacterial small subunit ribosomal RNA", at positions 524 to 776 of the family's 1533-position model. The record is from RNAcentral.
UACGGAGGGGGCUAGCGUUGUUCGGAAUUACUGGGCGUAAAGCGCACGUAGGCGGCUUUGUAAGUUAGAGGUGAAAGCCCGGGGCUCAACUCCGGAAUUGCCUUUAAAACUACAUCGCUAGAAUUGUGGAGAGGUAAGUGGAAUUCCGAGUGUAGAGGUGAAAUUCGUAGAUAUUCGGAAGAACACCAGUGGCGAUGGCGACUUACUGGACACAUAUUGACGCUGAGGUGCGAAAGCGUGGGGAGCAAACAGG